This 2060-nucleotide long non-coding RNA is filed under the name Homo sapiens (human). RNAcentral describes it as "HSALNT0254970". Lineage: Eukaryota; Metazoa; Chordata; Mammalia; Primates; Hominidae. The record is from RNAcentral.
GUCCAGUUGGGCUCCUCGGCUUCCUCUGCACACACGUCCCCUGUGCCUGCCAUGGGACCACAGACAGAGGAUGUGCUGGAGCUUGCACUUUCUGUGUAAUAUGCCUUGGAGGUCUCUACAUACAGACACAUACGGUUUGGCUUUUUUCCUUUUUGCUUUUUUUUCUUUUCGCUUUUACAUAUAUUUUUUAUUUUAUGCAUGAUAUUUACCUAUUAAAAAAAAUAAAGGGUGGGAGUGUCUCACUUUGUUGCUUAGCCUGGCUUCAAGUGAUUCUCUCGCCUUGAUCUUCCAAACUUGCUGGAUUAGAGGUGUGCGCCACCACUCCCAGCCUCUUUUAACGUUUAAAUUUUGAAAUAAAGUGCUGUUCAGAAAGGUUGUGGAGGGGACUUAAAUCUCCUGGGUGUGUUGCACCUGCCAGGUCGCUAGUAAGUGGCUAAGCUGGCCUGAGAACCCAGGAGUCCCGUGCUGACACUGUUGCCUGCUGUGCUGCCCACUGUGCGGUGGUAUGUGGGCAUCUGUCACCUUAUUCUACUGCAGUGUGUGUAAGACAUCUGCCCGUCUCGUAGGCAAAGCUUGCCAUCAAAGUGCUGGGUGAUGUGUGUCUCUCCUGUGUCUGUGUGCCCCUUUCUCCCCAGCCUGCAUUUUAUUAAUAAUUGGUGUAAUGUCUCAUCUUGACCUUUGCCUGUCUUUCUGUUGGGUUGGUUUGUUUUUCAUUGCUCGCUCUUUCUCUCCUAUGGGGGCUAAUUAGGGAAAUAAACUGAGUAGCUUUUUAAAAAUGUCAUUUCCCAGGCCCCUGCCCCAGAGAUUCUGUGUGGAUCAGCAGGAGGCCUCAGGUUCUGUGUUGUUUAAAAGCUUCCUGGGAGGGUCUGAUGUGUAGCCAGUUUGGGUGAGGGGCCCUGGAGAACCUUGGAAAUGGGAGUCAGUUGUUACAGCUCUGAGCUUUAUGCCACAGAUAGAAAAUGAUGAAUGUAGGCUGGGUGCGGUGGCUCACACCUGUAAUCCCGGCACUUUGGGAGGAUGAAGCAGCAGAUCACUUGAGCUCAGGAGUUUGAGACCAGCCUGGACAAUAGGGCGAAACCCUGUCUCUACAAAAAUAGAAAAAUUAGUCAGGCAUGGUGGUGUGCACCUGUGGUCUCAGCUACUGAGGAGGCUGAGGUGGGAGGAUCACUUGAUCCUGCAGUGAGCUGUGACUGAGCCACUGUACUCCAGGCUGGACAACAGAACAAGACUGGGUCUCAAACCCAAAAAACCUACAAAAAAUAAAUUACGGAAGUUGGCUAUUAGUGUUCUGUACCUUAUUAGGAGCACUGUUUUGCAUUAAAGCAUUUUGGCAUAUUCUCUUUAUUUAUUUGAGACGGAGUCCCGCUCUGUCACCCAGGCUGGAGUACAGUGGCGCAAUCUCAGCUCACUGCCACCUCUGCUUCCCAGGUUCAAGCGAUUCUUCUGCUUCAGCCUCUUAAGUAGCUGGGAUUACAGGCAUGCGCCACCACGCCUAGCUAAUUUUUGUAUUUUUAGUUGAGACGGGGUUUCACCAUGUUGGUCAGGCUGGUCUCGAACUCCUGAUGUUGUGAUCCGCCCACCUUGGCCUCCUGAAAUGCUGGGAUUACAGGUGUGAGCCACUGCGCCCGGCCUGGCAUAUUCUAUUUAGAGCUGUCUGCCUGAGUCCUGAGCCAGCAGUUGAGAUGUGAAACAUGUAGUCUGCCCUCCAGCUGUCCAAACAGCUGGCCUGACUGCUGUCCCCUCUGAACUAAUGGCCACAGUGGCCCUGUGCGGAUGUGCCCGUGGCUCUGAGAGGCCUAGGUUUGCUUUGGAUUAUGUGAGUCCUUGGCUGUGCUAUGCUAGAAGAACUGUGCCUGUAGGUUUUCUGAGGCGUGGGCCAACCUCUUCUCUUCCAUGAAUGCCCCUUGACAUCUGAAAGCAGGAUUCUGGAUUAGGCAGUAAAAUGCAAACUUGGAGGGAAGCAGCCUAUGCCUGGGCCUCUGGUCUGGAGACCACAGCCUUCCAUCUACACCAUGUGGGGCCAGAGAAUCUUAGUCUCAUGCACACGUGCAUAAUCUCCA